GAUGAAGAACGCAGCGAAAUGCGAUAAGUAAUGUGAAUUGCAGAAUUCAGUGAAUCAUCGAAUCUUUGAACGCACAUUGCGCCCGCCAGUAUUCUGGCGGGCAUGCCUGUUCGAGCGUCAUUUCAACCAUCAAGCCCCCGGGCUUGUGUUGGGGACCUGCGGCUGCCGCAGGCCCUGAAAAGCAGUGGCGGGCUCGCUGUCACACCGAGCGUAGUAGCAUACAUCUCGCUCUGGGCGUGCUGCGGGUUCCGGCCGUUAAACCACCUUUUAACCCAAGGUUGACCUCGGAUCAGGUAGGAAGACCCGCUGAACUUAAGCAUAUCAAUAAGCGGAGGA
RNAcentral lists this unclassified non-coding RNA (336 nucleotides) under soil metagenome. Its description in RNAcentral is "partial contains 5.8S ribosomal RNA, internal transcribed spacer 2, and large subunit ribosomal RNA". The stretch from base 1 to 120 matches the Rfam family "5.8S ribosomal RNA", at positions 35 to 154 of the family's 154-position model. The record is from RNAcentral.